This 29-nucleotide non-coding RNA is filed under the name Mus musculus (house mouse). The record is from RNAcentral. Lineage: Eukaryota; Metazoa; Chordata; Mammalia; Rodentia; Muridae.
UAAGAACACUGGGUUGUCUCGGGAACUUA